UAUCUUUUAUUCCUAGUAAUCUUUCAUAAUGCGAACCAAACGCACCCUAAAAGUAAAUUUCGGCUCAAUAGAACGUUUGACAAAUUUUUUUGCAAAAUCUGAUUCUGAUUUUUUUAAAUCAGUUUUCUAAUUUUCGAGAUCCAAAAUCAAAAGCAAUUAAAACUUACUUUUUGAAACCUAAUUCCGAUUCUAGACUUAAAGUUUAAAUUUUUAUUUUACUUUAAUAUUCAAAGUUUAUAUCUAAAUUCAAAUUUUAAAUUUUAUAUUUAAAUUUUUUAAUUUCAACUUUUAACUUUUAAAUUUCAAAUUUUGUGUGUGAUUAUAUAUAUCUAUUUAUUUAUUUAUAAAUAGUAAGUUUGAAUGAUUAAUAAAAUUAUACAAUUAUUUUAUGAAUAGUAAAGGUAAUCUCACCACUCUAUCUGAAAAUUUGACAAAAUUCACAAAUACAAACUAUCAGCUUCAUAUUACCAAACAGAAAAAAUGUAACUGUAGCAGUUGCAACUGUAUAAAACCAAACAGAAUAGGUGUAGUUACAACUACAACAUUUGCAAUUGUAUGUAUUUUCAACUAUACUAUUUCUACAACUACAUCUAACCAAACGGCCCCUAUGUAUCCAUAUACAUACAGCUAUGAUAUUU
Molecule: long non-coding RNA, 638 nt
Filed under: Ananas comosus (pineapple)
Lineage: Eukaryota; Viridiplantae; Streptophyta; Magnoliopsida; Poales; Bromeliaceae
Description: long non-coding RNA (ACOM_LNC009455)
Source: RNAcentral